GAUGAACGCUGGCGGCGUGCCUAACACAUGCAAGUCGAGCGAAAAGACGAGGUGGUUGCUCCUCGGACGUUAGAGGGGGACGGGAGAGUAACACGUGGAUACCCUACCUAUAGGACUGGGAUAAAUACGGGAAACCGGAGCUCAUACCGGAUAACAUGGAGAACCGCAUGGCUCAACAGUGAAAGACGGUGUUGCUGUCACUUGCAGAUGGAUCCGCGGCUCAUUAGCUAGUUGGUAAGGUAACGGCUUACCAAGGCAACGAUGCGUAGCCGACCUGAGAGGGUGAUCGGCCACACUGGGACUGAGACACGGUCCAGACUCCUACGGGAGGCAGCAGUAGGGAAUCUUCGGCAAUGGGCGAAAGCCUGACGGAGCAACGCCGCGUGCAGGAAGAAGGUCUUCGGAUCGUAAAACGCUGUUAUUAGGGAAGAAAAAAUGUGUAAGUAACUAUGGACUUCAUGACGGUACCUAAAGAGAAAGCCACGGCUAACUACGUG
This 497-nucleotide ribosomal RNA is filed under the name uncultured bacterium. Its description in RNAcentral is "partial 16S ribosomal RNA". It matches the Rfam family "Bacterial small subunit ribosomal RNA", at positions 28 to 507 of the family's 1533-position model. The record is from RNAcentral.